GGGUUGUGAGGUUAAGCGACUAAGCGUACACGGUGGAUGCCCUGGCAGUCAGAGGCGAUGAAGGACGUGCUAAUCUGCGAAAAGCGUCGGUAAGGUGAUAUGAACCGUUACAGCCGGCGAUGUCCGAAUGGGGAAACCCAGUGCAAUUCGUUGCACUAUCGUUAACUGAAUACAUAGGUUAACGAGGCGAACCGGGGGAACUGAAACAUCUAAGUACCCCGAGGAAAAGAAAUCAACCGAGAUUCCCCCAGUAGCGGCGAGCGAACGGGGAGCAGCCCAGAGUCUGAAUCAGCUUGUGUGUUAGUGGAACGGUCUGGAAAGUCCGACGGUACAGGGUGAUAGUCCCGUACACCAAAAUGCACAGGUUGUGAACUCGAAGAGUAGGGCGGGACACGUGGUAUCCUGUCUGAAUAUGGGGGGACCAUCCUCCAAGGCUAAAUACUCCUGACUGACCGAUAGUGAACCAGUACCGUGAGGGAAAGGCGAAAAGAACCCCGGCGAGGGGAGUGAAAAAGAACCUGAAACCGUGUACGUACAAGCAGUGGGAGCACCUUCGGGUGUGACUGCGUACCUUUUGUAUAAUGGGUCAGCGACUUAUAUUCUGUAGCAAGGUUAACCGUAUAGGGGAGCCGCAGGGAAACCGAGUCUUAACUGGGCGUUAAGUUGCAGGGUAUAGACCCGAAACCCGGUGAUCUAGCCAUGGGCAGGUUGAAGGUUGGGUAACACUAACUGGAGGACCGAACCGACUAAUGUUGAAAAAUUAGCGGAUGACUUGUGGCUGGGGGUGAAAGGCCAAUCAAACCGGGAGAUAGCUGGUUCUCCCCGAAAGCUAUUUAGGUAGCGCCUCGUGAAUUCAUCUUCGGGGGUAGAGCACUGUUUCGGCUAGGGGGUCAUCCCGACUUACCAACCCGAUGCAAACUACGAAUACCGAAGAAUGUUAUCACGGGAGACACACGGCGGGUGCUAACGUCCGUCGUGAAGAGGGAAACAACCCAGACCGCCAGCUAAGGUCCCAAAGUCACAGUUAAGUGGGAAACGAUGUGGGAAGGCACAGACAGCCAGGAUGUUGGCUUAGAAGCAGCCAUCAUUUAAAGAAAGCGUAAUAGCUCACUGGUCGAGUCGGCCUGCGCGGAAGAUGUAACGGGGCUAAACUGUGCACCGAAGCUGCGGCAGCGACACUAUGUGUUGUUGGGUAGGGGAGCGUUCUGUAAGCCUGCGAAGGUGGCCUGUGAGGGUUGCUGGAGGUAUCAGAAGUGCGAAUGCUGACAUAAGUAACGAUAAUGCGGGUGAAAAGCCCGCACGCCGGAAGACCAAGGGUUCCUGUCCAACGUUAAUCGGGGCAGGGUGAGUCGACCCCUAAGGCGAGGCCGAAAGGCGUAGUCGAUGGGAAACAGGUUAAUAUUCCUGUACUUGGUGUUACUGCGAAGGGGGGACGGAGAAGGCUAUGUUAGCCGGGCGACGGUUGUCCCGGUUUAAGCAUGUAGGCGGAGGUUCCAGGUAAAUCCGGUACCUUUUAACGCUGAGGUGUGAUGACGAGGCACUACGGUGCUGAAGUAACAAAUGCCCUGCUUCCAGGAAAAGCCUCUAAGCAUCAGGUAACAUUGAAUCGUACCCCAAACCGACACAGGUGGUCAGGUAGAGAAUACCAAGGCGCUUGAGAGAACUCGGGUGAAGGAACUAGGCAAAAUGGUGCCGUAACUUCGGGAGAAGGCACGCUGAUAUGUAGGUGAAGUCCCUGCGGAUGGAGCUGAAAUCAGUCGAAGAUACCAGCUGGCUGCAACUGUUUAUUAAAAACACAGCACUGUGCAAACACGAAAGUGGACGUAUACGGUGUGACGCCUGCCCGGUGCCGGAAGGUUAAUUGAUGGGGUUAUCCGUAAGGAGAGGCUCUUGAUCGAAGCCCCGGUAAACGGCGGCCGUAACUAUAACGGUCCUAAGGUAGCGAAAUUCCUUGUCGGGUAAGUUCCGACCUGCACGAAUGGCGUAAUGAUGGCCAGGCUGUCUCCACCCGAGACUCAGUGAAAUUGAACUCGCUGUGAAGAUGCAGUGUACCCGCGGCAAGACGGAAAGACCCCGUGAACCUUUACUAUAGCUUGACACUGAACAUUGAGCCUUGAUGUGUAGGAUAGGUGGGAGGCUUUGAAGCGUGGACGCCAGUCUGCGUGGAGCCAACCUUGAAAUACCACCCUUUAAUGUUUGAUGUUCUAACGUUGGCCCCUAAUCGGGGUUGCGGACAGUGUCUGGUGGGUAGUUUGACUGGGGCGGUCUCCUCCCAAAGAGUAACGGAGGAGCACGAAGGUUAGCUAAUCCUGGUCGGACAUCAGGAGGUUAGUGCAAUGGCAUAAGCUAGCUUGACUGCGAGCGUGACGGCGCGAGCAGGUGCGAAAGCAGGUCAUAGUGAUCCGGUGGUUCUGAAUGGAAGGGCCAUCGCUCAACGGAUAAAAGGUACUCCGGGGAUAACAGGCUGAUACCGCCCAAGAGUUCAUAUCGACGGCGGUGUUUGGCACCUCGAUGUCGGCUCAUCACAUCCUGGGGCUGAAGUAGGUCCCAAGGGUAUGGCUGUUCGCCAUUUAAAGUGGUACGCGAGCUGGGUUUAGAACGUCGUGAGACAGUUCGGUCCCUAUCUGCCGUGGGCGCUGGAGAAUUGAGGGGGGCUGCUCCUAGUACGAGAGGACCGGAGUGGACGCAUCACUGGUGUUCGGGUUGUCAUGCCAAUGGCAUUGCCCGGUAGCUAAAUGCGGAAGAGAUAAGUGCUGAAAGCAUCUAAGCACGAAACUUGCCCCGAGAUGAGUUCUCCCUGAGACUUUAAGUCUCCUGAAGGAACGUUAAAGACGAUGACGUUGAUAGGUCGGGUGUGUAAGCGUAGCGAUACGUUGAGCUAACCGAUACUAAUGAACCGUGAGGCUUAACCUUACAACGCCGAAGGUGUUU
This 2931-nucleotide ribosomal RNA is filed under the name Klebsiella aerogenes. RNAcentral describes it as "23S ribosomal RNA". It matches the Rfam family "Bacterial large subunit ribosomal RNA". Lineage: Bacteria; Pseudomonadati; Pseudomonadota; Gammaproteobacteria; Enterobacterales; Enterobacteriaceae. The record is from RNAcentral.